This is a long non-coding RNA of Sinocyclocheilus rhinocerous, 371 nucleotides long. RefSeq lists it as uncharacterized. The record is from RefSeq and is a predicted model, not a curated record. The transcript has 3 exons. Lineage: Eukaryota; Metazoa; Chordata; Actinopteri; Cypriniformes; Cyprinidae.
AAACGUGCGUGCGCCUGCUCAGACCCUGACGUGACGAACAGAAUAAAGGCUACUGGAAUUACUCCCCAUCUUGGAAAUUCUUCAUGUAAAAUCACCGAUGAGUGUAACACAGGUAAUGCAACUCGGCAGAGAUAUUCAAAGUUAGUCAUGUAUCGUUCUAUGAGAGGUUUGUCCAGAUGAAAACGCACUUUCUCGCCCCUCUCUGUCCUUGAGCUGUGAUAAGAGGCCUGCUAGAGUUUAUCUGGAGUUUCACAGGUGACAAAUCUGAGCUUCCAAGACACAGCACAGCUACACACACACAUGAUCUGCUCUUUAAGUGAUUACUGCAGAUGGACAAGUCACCUACACUACAAUGGAGAAGUUUGGGAUUG